ACGAAGUGAGUGGCGAACGGGUGAGUAACACGUGGGUAACCUGCCCAGAAGUAGGGGAUAACACCUGGAAACAGAUGCUAAUACCGUAUAACAGAGAAAACCGCAUGGUUUUCUUUUAAAAGAUGGCUCUGCUAUCACUUCUGGAUGGACCCGCGGCGUAUUAGCUAGUUGGUGAGGUAAAGGCUCACCAAGGCAGUGAUACGUAGCCGACCUGAGAGGGUAAUCGGCCACAUUGGGACUGAGACACGGCCCAGACUCCUACGGGAGGCAGCAGUAGGGAAUCUUCCACAAUGGACGCAAGUCUGAUGGAGCAACGCCGCGUGAGUGAAGAAGGGUUUCGGCUCGUAAAGCUCUGUUGUUAAAGAAGAACGUGGGUAAGAGUAA
Molecule: ribosomal RNA, 384 nt
Filed under: Pediococcus pentosaceus
Lineage: Bacteria; Bacillati; Bacillota; Bacilli; Lactobacillales; Lactobacillaceae
Description: bacterial SSU rRNA
Rfam family: Bacterial small subunit ribosomal RNA
Source: RNAcentral